GAUGAAGAACGUAGCGAAAUGCGAUAAGUAAUGCGAAUUGCAGAAUCCGUGAGUCAUCGAAUCUUUGAACGCACAUUGCGCCCCUUGGUAUCCCGAGGGGCAUGCCUGUUCGAGCGUCAUUUCACCACUCAAGCCUGGCUUGGUGUUGGGCGACGUCCUCUUUGGGGACGCGCCUCGAAACGCUCGGCGGCGUGGCACCGGCUUUAAGCGUAGCAGAAUCUUUCGCUUUGGAAGUCGGGGCCCCGUCUGCCGGAAGACCUGCUCGCAAGGUUGACCUCGGAUCAGGCAGGGAUACCCGCUGAACUUAAGCAUAUCAAUAAGCGGAGGA
Molecule: unclassified non-coding RNA, 328 nt
Filed under: soil metagenome
Description: partial contains 5.8S ribosomal RNA, internal transcribed spacer 2, and large subunit ribosomal RNA
Rfam family: 5.8S ribosomal RNA (bases 1-119)
Source: RNAcentral